CUUCUACUCACCAGAAUUUAAGGCCGUUAAAUUCAGAAGCAAAAUGUCCAUGAAAAAUAAGAGAAUGAGAUUCAUUAACUUAGGUUGAUUUCCUUAAGAGAUUGUGACCUGGAGAUUUGCUGCAGGGAGUUUAUUGGGAAGAACACUCUGGAGCAACACCAUUAAAGGGACAUUUAAUACAUUGGUUUAUAAGACUCAAUGGGCAGAACGGCUUGCACCACAUCCUGAUCUCUUGCUCUGGCCUCUAUGUAAUCCUGGAAGUAAAUCAAGAAUCGAUUAAAACACCAGGAAUGAACCCUCUCAUCAUGUGUAGACACAGAGAGAUGGAAGUCAUCUGCAAGCAAAGGAAUGAAGACCCUCAAAACCAAACCUACCAACAUCAUGAACUUGGAUAUUUAGCCUUCAGAACUUUGAAAAGAUAGAGUUAUUUAAACAUCUUAGUGAGAAAUAUUUUUAUGGAAGUCUUAGCAAAUUAAUGGAGUCAGUUUUCUCAAGAGGCUUAUGUUUUAGAGAGUUUUAGCUUCAGGGAAAAAUUGAGCAAAAUAUAGAGAAGGAAUAUUUUCCACAGUGCCUCUACACAUGCGUAGCUUCCUACGUUAUUAACAAUCACCAACAGAAUGGUACAUUUGUUAUAAUUGUUGAAGUUUUGUGACACAUAAUUAUUAUCCAAAGUCCAUGUUAUACAGAGGGUUCAUAGUUGGUGUUGAAUAUUUCCUGGAUUAAAAAAAUGUGUAAUGUAUUUAUUUACCUUUAUAGUACUAUACAAAUAGUUUCACUGGUGAAAAGAAAAAUCUUCUAUGCUCUAUUAGUCCUUCUCCAUAACCCCUGAAACCACUGGUCUUUUUAUUAUCUCCACAUAUUUUUAUUUUUCAGAAUUUUUGAGCAGUUGAAGUCAAACUAUCUAAAAGGAUUUGAAUUUGGCUUUUGCCACAUAGUAAUGUAC
This 943-nucleotide long non-coding RNA is filed under the name Heterocephalus glaber (naked mole-rat). RNAcentral's name for it is "lncRNA (ENSHGLG00000047805.1)". Lineage: Eukaryota; Metazoa; Chordata; Mammalia; Rodentia; Bathyergidae. The record is from RNAcentral.